GAGUUUGAUCUUGGCUCAGAUUGAACGCUGGCGGCAUGCCUUACACAUGCAAGUCGAACGGCAGCACGGGAGCUUGCUCCUGGUGGCGAGUGGCGAACGGGUGAGUAAUGCAUCGGAACGUAUCCUGGAGUGGGGGAUAACGUAGCGAAAGUUACGCUAAUACCGCAUAUUCUGUGAGCAGGAAAGCGGGGGACCUUCGGGCCUCGCGCUCUUGGAGCGGCCGAUGUCGGAUUAGCUAGUUGGUGAGGUAAAGGCUCACCAAGGCGACGAUCCGUAGCAGGUCUGAGAGGAUGAUCUGCCACACUGGAACUGAGACACGGUCCAGACUCCUACGGGAGGCAGCAGUGGGAAUUUUGGACAAUGGGGGCAACCCUGAUCCAGCCAUGCCGCGUGAGUGAAGAAGG
This 404-nucleotide ribosomal RNA is filed under the name bacterium enrichment culture clone ALO1_GLFRUDD03FQZ18. Its description in RNAcentral is "bacterial SSU rRNA". It matches the Rfam family "Bacterial small subunit ribosomal RNA", at positions 9 to 414 of the family's 1533-position model. The record is from RNAcentral. RNAcentral also lists the same sequence under 1 other name.